RNAcentral lists this non-coding RNA (45 nucleotides) under Schistosoma curassoni. The record is from RNAcentral. Lineage: Eukaryota; Metazoa; Platyhelminthes; Trematoda; Strigeidida; Schistosomatidae.
AUCCAGUUGACGAGUUCUAAAUAGAACGAAACGCGCUUUGUGGAU